This 334-nucleotide ribosomal RNA is filed under the name uncultured bacterium. Its description in RNAcentral is "bacterial SSU rRNA". It matches the Rfam family "Bacterial small subunit ribosomal RNA", at positions 8 to 334 of the family's 1533-position model. The record is from RNAcentral.
AGGGUUUGAUUCUGGCUCAGGACGAACGCUGGCGGCGUGCCUAAUACAUGCAAGUAGAACGCUGAAGGAGGAGCUUGCUUCUCUGGAUGAGUUGCGAACGGGUGAGUAACGCGUAGGUAACCUGCCUGGUAGCGGGGGAUAACUAUUGGAAACGAUAGCUAAUACCGCAUAAGAGUAGAUGUUGCAUGACAUUUGCUUAAAAGGUGCAAUUGCAUCACUACCAGAUGGACCUGCGUUGUAUUAGCUAGUUGGUGAGGUAACGGCUCACCAAGGCAACGAUACAUAGCCGACCUGAGAGGGUGAUCGGCCACACUGGGACUGAGACACGGCCCAG